UAUGGGGUGGACGUUUUCGCGCGCAUUUUAUCGAUUUUCCGCCACACAUUCGGGAUUGUGUUAUCGCGUGUUUUUAUUACACAUCACUUAAAAUGCAUAUUAUUUAAAAAAGUAUAAAGAUUGUUUAUGAAAGUGAUUUUUUGUACUUAGACUGUUAUGGUUUUUGAACUGUUCGCCAUUUAAACAUAAAAUUGACUGUGGUUUUCUGUUCGUGUAUAUAGAAUCGUGUUUUGGAAGGCGAGUGAGAGUUUCGAUCACAACAUGGUGUGAAGUCCGAAAACCAAAACACGGCAAGGAAAAUCCGAUACCACGACAACAAUCGAACGAUCGACAGAAUAUAAAAGCAAUAACAACCCAACCAUGUGUUCAUAAAAUCGAAUAACUUAACAUUAACCAAAACAAAUUGAAUGUGAAGCUAAUUAAUGCGAAUUUAAAUUUGACGUGACCAAAAAAAAACAUUUGGUUUUUGAAAGGAAAAGUGUGAUAAUUAUUUAAAAAGUAGGUAAAAGAGAAUUUUAAUUCGAACGCCAGGUGCGUUGAUUAAAGAAAAAAAAAAGGAAUUUGUUUUUGAACGAAAAAAAAACUAAUUGAUUGAAGAUAAUAAUGCGAAUUCGAAAUUCGAAUUUCGUGCCCGCGUAAGAGUGAGACGGGUUAAUAAAGACAGAGAGCUGCGUCCAAAAAUAGUGCGUUCGGAAAUAGAACUAAAAAAAUGUCCGGCCCAGACUCAGUAGAGGCACACGAGGCGGCGGAAGCCCACGCCGAAUGGUGGCGGACACCAUGGAAAACUAUGGCUGACUUAGCUGAAGCAGUUGACGAUCUUAUAUGCAGUUUCGAUUAUAUGGACACAGCGAUGGACAACUUAGUGAUGCUGAUAUUCGUAUGGAUACUAAUCUCUAUAAUUAUACUGGGCGUCGCUAAAUGGGCGUACGGAAGAUUCAACAAGAAACCUGUAGAAGAAAAAGUGGAGAAACCAAAGCCGAGCGAUGAAAAGAAGACGGCUAACGAAAUAAUCUCAAGCACGGACAGUAUAUUGGCGACAACUGCUAAAGUUACCAGUAAAUCUGGCUCCUUUAAGCCAUCUAAGCCGACUAGCUUCGUCCCAGCCACGCCACCUAAUAAGAAGAGGCUGGGUCGGAUGUCCCCAGGUCCUGAGCAGUUGACUCUGAAGAAACACCAGAGUGUCGUCAUCCCGUCGUGCACGGGACCAGAUGCCGCGAGCGUCCAGUGGGUGAACGAAAUAUUGACGUGGUUAUAUAAUGAUCUUGUUAUUGUGAAUGAACUUGUGCAGCAAUGGAUUGUGUCUAUGAACGAGUUCUCCAAGAAGUCGGUGGAGGAGCAAGGCAUCGGCGUGGAGUUGGUGCGAGCGUUGGACAGUCAUCCCCCCAACCUGUCCAACGUUUUCUGCGAGUGCGAUACAAAGGAUGACGUGACCAUAACCUGUGACUGCGAGGCUACUCCAGCGUUCCAGUUGAAAGCUUUCAGCCAGCGCGGGGAGAAGGUGGAGGUGUCACAUUACAGGGUUAAUGUUAACAGAUUCCGCGCCCGUCUCCACGUGGUCUGCAUAACGGACAAGUUGACUGGCGAGCUGAAGUGUGACGGCUGGCCGGAUGUCAAGGUGGCCCUCGCGCCCGUUGGACCACUGAGGCCCAACGCUGACGAGUCCGAACUGCAACAGCUCAUAAGUGACAUAGUAGUGAGCGCUCUACGGAACACUCAUCUGUACUUCAACUUCGCGCAUUACCCCACCUGUCCACGCCUCAGACGAUAUGUACCCGAGGCAGGACCGCGGUUACCCCUCCACUAUGACUCUAUGCUGCACUCCGACCGUCAGAACAUGUACACCUCUACCCCGAACUCGACGGCCGGCUGUGUCCAACUGCUGGGCGAAAAAAGGCUCCUAGUUAAGAUCGUCAGUGCUAAAGACAUCGGGGGUAAAACCGGCUGCGUAGCGCCAUACUGCGUGGUGGAAAUGGAUGAACCUCCGCAGAAGAAUCAGACCGGCUUCAAGAAAGACACUACCAGUCCUCAAUGGGAGGAACACUUCCUUUUCGAUCUGUCUCCACAAACAGCAGAGUUGUUGUUUGAGGUGUACGACCGCACGGGGCCGCCGUCUCCUGGAAAUUCUACCUCACAGCAUCGGUUCUUGGGCUUAGGUCUUGUGGGGAUAGACGAGCUGCUGGCAGCACCCUCACAGCGCCAGCAGAUAGGGCUCCAGACGAGACCCAUGGAGGACCACGAUGUCAGCGGAAGCCUCACCGUCGAGUUCCUGUUCAUAGAAGGCGCGGACAUACCGGACCUGGGUUCGAAGCCUUUCAAGAUCAAGGAGAGUCUCCGCACAGUGUCGCCUCAAGGACGUCUCACCACCACCACCAAAACUACUUUCCAGCAAAACGGUCAUGACACCAGUCAGCUUACUGAGUCAGCUCUGCGUGAGCUGGAACUCAGCCCAACCAGCGCAGCCAACAAAUCCACUCUGAUCAUACACUCUGUGCAACGGGAGCCGACGAAGUCUAUCAAGGUGGAAAUAACAGACUCUGGAAAAUUUAUUGAAGUCGAGAGGGAAGCCGUAGAGAGCAAUCUACCGGUCAUAGACAAGCAAGAGUUUAAAGAGCAAAAGAGUGUGACCCCUAACCAAUCUCCCGCCAAAAGUGUAAGGAUUAAAGAAAACGGCGCCAAGGCUAAUGGCGACACAGAAGUGAUAAAACAAGGCGGCUACGUCCAAAUGGAAGCUACACCCGAGCCUGCACCCAGACAAAAGAGAAAAAGGGACUUCUUUGGCACUAUCAAACGGAGGUUAGGCAGAGCGCGAACUCGCGGCGCCUCCUUGGACCUUCAAGACCAGGAUAUGGAGAACCAGCGUAUCAGAAGUAUCAGCGCCGAAAGAAAUAGCCACGACAAAGCUCUCACUCUGCCCAAUAGAAAUGUGUACUCAGCUGGUGCAUCUCCCGCGCAAUCUGGAGAUGAAUCUAGAACUUCACGAAGAUCGUCCCUCAGCGAAGUCUCCGGAUUCAGUACAGCAUCAGCCCGGACCUUCAUCCACGAGGCUUCCACCCUGGUCCUGGAGACCUUAGAGGCGGGGAUUAAGAAGCAUUACCUGGUGCCUUUGACAGUUGCGCAACGAUCCAGAUGGAGGCGAAAAGGCGUAAAGUUGCAUAUUUUUAACGAGCACACUUUCAUCGCUAAACAUCUUAGUGGUGGAACAGUAUGUGAGGUUUGCAACAAGACGGUGGCGCGUCGGCUCGGCAAACAGGGCUACGAAUGCCGCGAUUGCGCCAUGAAAUGCCACAAACACUGCCACGUGAAGGUCCCCAACUCCUGCCCGAAGUCCACCGUGCACAAUAUGGAGCUGUUGCCUACCCAAUGAACACGAGCUUCCCAAGCAGCUUAAAUGGUCCCAUUCCCAUAGUUUUGGAAAUGGAAGAUCCAUGCUACCAGUGCUAAGCGAAUAAAGAAGCUAAGAAGACUGCAAGAAAAAAAUAUAAAAAAAAAUAAAAAAAAUCGCGAGCUAUUCAGGUCCUUUGAAAGUACUAAAGGCUUACAUCACGUCUCCAUACACAGACAAAAAUAUAAGAAUGUUGUGAUCUUCGGCUUAUGCACAAAUAAAUAAAUAAUAAAAAAAUAACUAAUUGAAUGCAGCUAUGCGAAAACAUUCCAAUCGAAUUCACAAAUCUCAAGUCGUCAUUUAUGUACCGGCAGUAUACCUACCCACCGCAACUGAACGCACGUCCGCGCUAGAGUUUCAUAAAUAUGGUCUGAAGAACUGGACUAUAAAAUGCGAAAUAUAUUACGCAAAUCCUGGUCGGUAGAUCUGAAGAUUAGAGCGUUGGACCAACAAACGCAAAAUAUAGACUUUUCUGUGUAAAAAUCCCACAAAGAGAUACUAGAAAGAAUAAGACGUAGCUGCGUCGGAGCCCGAUUUGAAUAAUUGUGGAUUAGAAAGUUUUCGCAAAACUACGUCGAAAUAUUUUUCGAAUGCUUAGAGCGUGAACUUAAUUAUUGUUAGGGUAAUAUACUAGAUUCAAAUACUUUCUAAGAAUUUCUUUAUACAUGAAUAUUUAUAUUUUACUUUCAAAAAGAAUCAGCGGGGUUAAUGACUGUAAUUUCGUGACAAUUACUAAUUUAACGUCACAAAACCAAUUGCAUGCGUUCACUCUCUAAGCUGACGAUUAUUAUAAAUAAUUAUAUAUACUUAAAUUAUUUAAUUUAUUAAGAUUCAAGUACAAGUUUCUCAUAUUGUACGCUACUUACUUAAACAUAUUAUAGGCUUUUUUUACAAAAAUAUAUUUAUAAAUGUAUGUGAAACGUUAUAUGAAAUUGUAUAUUAGGUUUAAGAAACGUAGUAAUCCCAUUGUCCUUUAGGGUUUUAUACGGACAAUUAUUGAUUGUAUCGUAAAAUCGAUGUAACAAUAGAUUUCAAAGUUCUCGCUCUAAUAAGAAAACUACGCCAUGUAACCACAGCUUUUUGAUGCAGUGGUUAAAAAAAACAGCUCUUAUUAAAGUCUCUAUUCUAUUUCCAGUUAAAUUAAUAUAGAAAACCAACUUUUUAACUUGUAUGAAAUAAAAAGUAUGUGGCGCCUAGACGAUGACGAUGGGCUUAUAAAUGAGUCAGUGUUUUGGACUUUAUAGUAACAAAAAAGUCACUGCCAACCAUUAAUAACUGCUUUUCAUUUUAUGAGGAGUUUAUUUUAACUGAAUUGUUCGUAUAAACGUCGCCUUGUAAAAUUUUAUAAAAAUAAAGUUCUUACCGCUUUUCUCACUAUUGGCGUUAAUGUUAGAUUAGCUUAGAAAUCGCUAGAACCCACCUUAAAAACCAUUUCCAAACGCAUCAUUCACUUUAUUACCAUAUUUAUAUUAAAAAUAAAAAAAAUAGCCAAAGUAUAUCGAAAGGAGGAUUUAUUUAAAUCGCUACCUCACUUUGAUGUUACGACAAUACUUAUUAUGUAAAUUUGUUACCAGUAAUAAAAACCAAUUAAAAUAAACUAUUAUUAUUAU
This is an RNA transcript of Pararge aegeria (speckled wood butterfly), 4992 nucleotides long. RefSeq lists it as uncharacterized. NCBI's taxonomy places the organism in Eukaryota, Metazoa, Arthropoda, Insecta, Lepidoptera, Nymphalidae. The transcript has 22 exons. The record is from RefSeq and is a predicted model, not a curated record.